GGAUGAACGCUGGCGGCGUGCCUAAUACAUGCAAGUCGAGCGAACUGAUUAGAAGCUUGCUUCUAUGACGUUAGCGGCGGACGGGUGAGUAACACGUGGGCAACCUGCCUGUAAGACUGGGAUAACUUCGGGAAACCGAAGCUAAUACCGGAUAGGAUCUUCUCCUUCAUGGGAGAUGAUUGAAAGAUGGUUUCGGCUAUCACUUACAGAUGGGCCCGCGGUGCAUUAGCUAGUUGGUGAGGUAACGGCUCACCAAGGCAACGAUGCAUAGCCGACCUGAGAGGGUGAUCGGCCACACUGGGACUGAGACACGGCCCAGACUCCUACGGGAGGCAGCAGUAGGGAAUCUUCCGCAAUGGACGAAAGUCUGACGGAGCAACGCCGCGUGAGUGAUGAAGGCUUUCGGGUCGUAAAACUCUGUUGUUAGGGAAGAACAAGUACGAGAGUAACUGCUCGUACCUUGACGGUACCUAACCAGAAAGCCACGGCUAACUAC
RNAcentral lists this ribosomal RNA (496 nucleotides) under Priestia megaterium. RNAcentral's name for it is "bacterial SSU rRNA". It matches the Rfam family "Bacterial small subunit ribosomal RNA", at positions 27 to 504 of the family's 1533-position model. The record is from RNAcentral. Lineage: Bacteria; Bacillati; Bacillota; Bacilli; Caryophanales; Bacillaceae.